AUCCUGGCUCAGAUUGAACGCUGGCGGCAUGCCUUACACAUGCAAGUCGAACGGUAGAGUAGCAAUACUCGAGAGUGGCGAACGGGUGAGUAACAUAUCGGAACGUGCCCAAUCGUGGGGGAUAACGUAGAGAAAUUUACGCUAAUACCGCAUACGAUCUACGGAUGAAAGCGGGGGAUCGCAAGACCUCGCGCGAUUGGAGCGGCCGAUAUCAGAUUAGGUAGUUGGUGAGGUAAAGGCUCACCAAGCCGACGAUCUGUAGCUGGUCUGAGAGGACGACCAGCCACACUGGGACUGAGACACGGCCCAGACUCCUACGGGAGGCAGCAGUGGGGAAUUUUGGACAAUGGGCGCAAGCCUGAUCCAGCAAUGCCGCGUGCAGGAUGAAGGCCUUCGGGUUGUAAACUGCUUUGUACGGAACGAAACGGUGAGCUCUAAUACAGUUUGCUAAUGACGGUACCGUAAGAAUAAGCACCGGCUAACUACGUG
This 489-nucleotide ribosomal RNA is filed under the name uncultured bacterium. Its description in RNAcentral is "bacterial SSU rRNA". It matches the Rfam family "Bacterial small subunit ribosomal RNA", at positions 16 to 507 of the family's 1533-position model. The record is from RNAcentral.